GUCCUGGCCCGGGACAAGGGUGCUCCAGUCGGGAAAGAAACAUUUAUCUUUAUGAUUUUUUGGUACAAGUAUAAAUGCGAGAGCCAGUAUAUUAUCUACUAGAAAAUAUCAUAGAAUGUCAUAGAGAUAUGCUUCUAUUUACCUAAGGUCGACUCUCCUAAUUAAUGAAUUUGUAACAUUUCAUCUUUGUAAUCAUGAUAUGAUCAUA
Molecule: long non-coding RNA, 208 nt
Filed under: Ricinus communis (castor bean)
Lineage: Eukaryota; Viridiplantae; Streptophyta; Magnoliopsida; Malpighiales; Euphorbiaceae
Description: long non-coding RNA (RCOM_LNC001835)
Source: RNAcentral